AGUGAACGCUGGCGGUAGGCCUAACACAUGCAAGUCGAGCGCAGGAAAUCGACGGAACCCUUCGGGGGGAAGUCGACGGAAUGAGCGGCGGACGGGUGAGUAACACGUAAAGAACCUGCCCUCAGGUCUGGGAUAACCACGAGAAAUCGGGGCUAAUACCGGAGGGGUCAUCGGACCGCAUGGUCCGAGGAUGAAAGGCGCUUCGGCGUCGCCUGGGCAUGGCUUUGCGGGUCAUUAGCUAGUUGGUGGGGUAAUGGCCCACCAAGGCGACGAUGCAUAGCCGACCGGAGCGAGUGAUCGGCCGCACGGGAGCUGAGACACGGCCAGACUCCUACGGGAGGCAGCAGUAGGGAAUCUUCCACAAUGGACGAAAGUCUGAUGGAGCAACACCGCGUGAACGAUGAAGGCCUUCGGGUCGUAAAGUUCUGUUGUAAGUGAAGAACAAGUGCCGCAGGCAAUGGCGGCACCUUGACGGUACCUUGCGAGAAAGCCACGGCUAACUACGUGCCAGCCGCCGCAGUAA
Molecule: ribosomal RNA, 523 nt
Filed under: uncultured bacterium
Lineage: Bacteria
Description: partial 16S ribosomal RNA
Rfam family: Bacterial small subunit ribosomal RNA
Source: RNAcentral